GACGAACGCUGGCGGCGUGCCUAAUACAUGCAAGUAGAACGCUGAAGGAGGAGCUUGCUCUUCUGGAUGAGUUGCGAACGGGUGAGUAACGCGUAGGUAACCUGCCUGGUAGUGGGGGAUAACUAUUGGAAACGAUAGCUAAUACCGCAUAAUAACAGUUGUUGCAUGACAACUGUUUGAAAGGUGCAAUUGCAUCACUACCAGAUGGACCUGCGUUGUAUUAGCUAGUUGGUGGGGUAACGGCUCACCAAGGCGACGAUACAUAGCCGACCUGAGAGGGUGAUCGGCCACACUGGGACUGAGACACGGCCCAGACUCCUACGGGAGGCAGCAGUAGGGAAUCUUCGGCAAUGGACGAAAGUCUGACCGAGCAACGCCGCGUGAGUGAAGAAGGUUUUCGGAUCGUAAAGCUCUGUUGUAAGAUAAGAACGAGUGUGAGAGUGGAAAGUUCACA
This 454-nucleotide ribosomal RNA is filed under the name Streptococcus sp. oral taxon C56. Its description in RNAcentral is "bacterial SSU rRNA". It matches the Rfam family "Bacterial small subunit ribosomal RNA", at positions 28 to 468 of the family's 1533-position model. The record is from RNAcentral. Lineage: Bacteria; Bacillati; Bacillota; Bacilli; Lactobacillales; Streptococcaceae.